RNAcentral lists this small RNA (298 nucleotides) under Piliocolobus tephrosceles (Ugandan red Colobus). RNAcentral's name for it is "Metazoan signal recognition particle RNA (ENSPTEG00000021461.1)". Lineage: Eukaryota; Metazoa; Chordata; Mammalia; Primates; Cercopithecidae. The record is from RNAcentral.
UGAGGCAGGAGAAUUGCUUGAACCUGGGAGGCAGAAGUUGCAGUGAGCCGAGAUCGUGCCAUUGCACUCCAGCUUGGGCAACAAGAGUGAAACUCCAUCUCAAAAAAAAAAAAAAAAUUUGGUGGCUGUUUUUUUUGUUUUUUGUUUUUUUUUUUUUUUGAGACAAAGUCUCACUCUGUCACCCAGGCUGAAGGUGCAAUCUUGGCUCACUGCAACCUGCGCCUCCCAGAUUCAAGCAUUUCUCCUGCCUCAGCCUCCCGAGUAACUAGGAUUACAGGCACGCACCACCGCGCCUGGC